CCUACGGGAGGCAGCAGUGAGGAAUAUUGGUCAAUGGGCGCGAGCCUGAACCAGCCAAGUCGCGUGAGGGAAGACGGUCCUAUGGAUUGUAAACCUCUUUUGUCGGGGAGCAAAAGACGCCACGCGUGGCGUUCCGAGAGUACCCGAAGAAAAAGCAUCGGCUAACUCCGUGCCAGCAGCCGCGGUAAUACGGAGGAUGCGAGCGUUAUCCGGAUUUAUUGGGUUUAAAGGGUGCGCAGGCGGAAGAUCAAGUCAGCGGUAAAAUUGAGGGGCUCAACCUCUUCGAGCCGUUGAAACUGGUGUUCUUGAGUGGGCGAGAGGGAUGCGGAAUGCGUGGUGUAGCGGUGAAAUGCAUAGAUAUCACGCAGAACUCCGAUUGCGAAGGCAGCAUACCGGCGCUCAACUGACGCUCAUGCACGAAAGUGUGGGUAUCGAACAGGAUUAGAUACCCGUGUAGUC
RNAcentral lists this ribosomal RNA (459 nucleotides) under uncultured bacterium. Its description in RNAcentral is "partial 16S ribosomal RNA". It matches the Rfam family "Bacterial small subunit ribosomal RNA", at positions 338 to 795 of the family's 1533-position model. The record is from RNAcentral.